AUGAGUGUGUGGAGGGAGAUGCUGUCUGUGAUGAACAGUCCAGAGUUGGCCCCCACAGCUCUUGUCUCUGAUUCCUGCAGGAAGCCAAGGGAUGCCUGGGAUGCCAGGGCUGAAGGGCCAGCCAGGCCUCCCAGGACCUUCCGGCCAGCCAGGCCUGUACGGGCCUCCAGGACUGCAUGGAUUCCCAGGAGCUCCUGGCCAAGAGGGGCCCUUGGGGCUGCCAGGAAUCCCAGGCCGUGAAGGUCUGCCUGGUGAUAGAGGGGACCCUGGGGACACAGGCGCUCCUGGCCCUGUGGGCAUGAAAGGUCUCUCUGGUGACAGAGGAGAUGCUGGCUUCACAGGGGAGCGAGGCCAUCCAGGAAGCCCUGGAUUUAAAGGAAUUGAUGGAAUGCCUGGGACCCCCGGGCUAAAAGGAGAUAGAGGCUCACCUGGGAUGGAUGGUUUCCAAGGCAUGCCUGGACUCAAAGGGAGACCCGGGUUUCCAGGGAGCAAAGGCGAGGCUGGAUUUUUCGGAAUACCCGGUCUGAAGGGUCUGGCUGGUGAGCCAGGUUUUAAAGGCAGCCGAGGGGACCCUGGGCCCCCAGGACCACCUCCUGUCAUCCUGCCAGGAAUGAAAGACAUUAAAGGAGAGAAAGGAGAUGAAGGGCCUAUGGGGCUGAAAGGAUACCUGGGCGCAAAAGGUAUCC
This 686-nucleotide small RNA is filed under the name Pan troglodytes (chimpanzee). RNAcentral describes it as "processed transcript". The record is from RNAcentral. Lineage: Eukaryota; Metazoa; Chordata; Mammalia; Primates; Hominidae.